RNAcentral lists this ribosomal RNA (222 nucleotides) under Triticum aestivum (bread wheat). RNAcentral describes it as "partial small subunit ribosomal RNA". The record is from RNAcentral. Lineage: Eukaryota; Viridiplantae; Streptophyta; Magnoliopsida; Poales; Poaceae.
AUGCGCACCCUCGAGCAGGAGAAGAUCGUACCGCCCGUGGCGCGAGAGCGAAUGCACGCGCUGCUGACCUGCGGCGGCGUGCAAGAGCGGCUGGCGGCGGAGGCCAAGUGCCUGGUGCCAAGGAUGCUGGUGGAGGCCAUGGCCGAGGACAAGGCCGUCAGGUCCAACGCGCCGCUCAUCAGAGACCUCACCCGGUUCGGCGAAUCGCUGCCGGAGCAGUAG